CUCUUCUCUAUUUAUAAGUAUUUUGUAACCAAAUCUAACAGAAUUUGUUAUUAUUAACUGCUUCUCAAUUCUUUUGGGUCCUUCUAGAGCUUGAUAGGAGUCUAUCAUUAUCCGCCGCCCCAAAAUCCACCUUGUUCUCAAGGUGGACAUAUGGUUCAACUUCAAUAUUCAGAACCAAAUUCGGAGUAUGCUUGCUGCGUUUGUUAACCCGUGUAAUCAAUUUACCACUUAGAAAUAGAAUGUUAUCCAUACAAAUCCCAUAAGCAGUUGAACCUGCUGCAGGAAUUUCACUUGUCAUUGCUGGUGGUUGAAGCACUGUAACAACGCUAGAUUUUGGAUGGAUGAUUUGUAGUGAGUGGGUUAAAAUAGUUGGGUGAGUAUAUGGGUAUAAGAAUGGGCCAUUGGAAACUUUGGGCUACUGAAAUUAUUUUUAUUUCCAUUUGAGCUAUAACUCAUUUGGGCCUGCGUUACCAAUUCAUUCUUAUCUUCCAAGUGUUGGGCCAACUCCCUAAUAAAGCCCAAACCCCCAAGCUUUGGCCCUCUUACUUUAACUGAUUUCGGCUCAGUAAUACAAUGGUCUUCCACCGCUUCAGAAAUUGUCGGCAAUGGAGCUGCAAUUCUUUCCGAAACCAACAUUUUCAGCCUACAGUCGCAUGCCCCUGCCUUACCUGAUUCUUCUCGUGGUUUAUGGCUGUUAAUAAUUGCCGCAAUUUCAUCCAGUUUAGGUAGUGUAGCUGCCUGGCCUUUUUCUGCCCCUGCCCGUCCCAUUUUUUCCAUCAUCAAGUCGAGCUUCUCCAUCAUGAUAGACAUAACCUUCUUAAUUUCAGAUUUUAGUGUUUUCAGAUCAUCCCGUACUUCCAAUUGAAUCCCAUCAAUUUUCGUCUCCAAUUUAUCAACUCUAUCUUCAACUUGCUUUUCUUAAUCAAAUGUAAUACCCCAGGGCCAGAGUGGUUGCUCUGAUACCAUUUUGUUAGGCCCCCAUUGUUGCGCUUCAAUUAAUAGAUUCUACUCUAGAGAUUAAGGACCGGUUAAGACACAAUUUAGUAACUGGGGAAUUGAUGUAGUGUAGGUGAGAAAAAAAGUGAAGUAAUAAAC
RNAcentral lists this long non-coding RNA (1095 nucleotides) under Olea europaea subsp. europaea. Lineage: Eukaryota; Viridiplantae; Streptophyta; Magnoliopsida; Lamiales; Oleaceae. The record is from RNAcentral.